RNAcentral lists this ribosomal RNA (1149 nucleotides) under Triticum aestivum (bread wheat). RNAcentral's name for it is "partial small subunit ribosomal RNA". Lineage: Eukaryota; Viridiplantae; Streptophyta; Magnoliopsida; Poales; Poaceae. The record is from RNAcentral.
AUGGCGUGGUCCAUCGCAGCGAACACAGGCGGCAGCUCACAGCAGACGGACGGAGAGGGGGCACCGCGCCCGUCAGAGGACGCCGCGGCGGCGUGGGGGUCCGGGCGCGCCAGGCCAACUUCCGAUGCCUGGGGCACAGGCACCAGGUCGCCGGUGGACGACGCGGUCGUCGAAACCUGGGGAACCAGGCCGUCGACGGAUGCCCGGUUCACGGACAGCUGGGCCAGCUUGGUGACAACAGAGCCGCGGGUCACCGGCGGCACUUGGGGCCCCUGGUCAUCAGCGGCACAGGGCGCUGGGUCCUGGCGCAGCUGGCCAUCGGAGGCGGCGCGGGAGAACUGGAGCGGCUGGGCGCCGGAAAGGCGUCCCUCCACGGUUCCGUGGCCGUCGGAGCACGCGGUGAUCACGAACGUGACUGUGGAGGAUGCCCGUGCCCUCCACUGCGGCGUCUGCGGCCUCCCACUCAAGCCGCCAAUCUUCGAGUGUGACCUGGGGCAGGCGGUGUGCUCGGCGUGCCGCGGCCCUGGCUACCGCCGGUGCCGCGCCAUGGAGAACCUGGUGGCGACCGUCCGCGUGCCGUGCCCCAACGCCGCUCACGGCUGCGACGCCACGCCGGCCUACUACGACAUGCAUGCACACGGACUGGCGUGCGCGCACGCGCCGGGCACGCGCUGCCCCGCGGACGCCUGCGAAUUCGUCGGCUCAAUGGCAGCGCUCCUGGACCACUUCACCGCCGUGCACGGAUGGACGCUCACAACCGAGGACGGCGUCGGGAAGAGCUUCGACGUCGACCUCCAGGACGGCUUCAACGUCGUCACCACGGCCGUCCGUGACGGCGGCAACCAGCUCUUGCUCCUGCUAAACGUUGUGAGCCACCCGUUUGGUCGCACCAUCGCUGCGGUCUGCAUUAGUCCUUACCCCGCUGCCGUCGAGUCAUGGUCGUCGGCUGCUGCAUCCAAGACGGUGCAACUCGAGCUCCGCUACUCGGCAGCUAGCCAUUACCAAGAAUCUGAAUUCAAUGUUCCUUUCGCCGAUAUCGCCGAUGGAUUCCCAGACGUCAGCGAGUUGGCCCAGUUCGUCGUGCCCAAGUCUGUUCAUUCAGACGACCAUGCUACUACGCUGGUCUCGGCCUAUAUUACCAUCAAAUAG